Molecule: transfer RNA, 72 nt
Filed under: Pangasianodon gigas (Mekong giant catfish)
Lineage: Eukaryota; Metazoa; Chordata; Actinopteri; Siluriformes; Pangasiidae
Description: tRNA-Glu
Rfam family: tRNA
About the family: Transfer RNA (tRNA) molecules are approximately 80 nucleotides in length.
Source: RNAcentral
UCCCUGGAGGACUAGUGGUUAGGCCUUGGUGCUCUCACCACCGUGGCAUAGGUUCGAUUCCCAGCCAGGGAA